CCGCAGCUAAGCUUUUUUUCUGGCAGGAUGGGGAGGGUGGAAUAAGACAUGUCAGUGGCCUUGGAUGAGCUCUGCUGGAGUGGUGCCCCGCCCGGGCCACUGCUCUCCUAGGCAGCGUGACUCUCAGAAACCUGGCAGUUGUAUGGGCAUCUGUGUUGUGUAGGAUGAAUGACAGUUGUGGUUGUGUGGGAUCACCUGUUGUGUAGGGUGAAUGACAGUUGCAUAGGUGUCUGUGUUGUGUAGGGUGAAUGAUGGUUUUGUGGGAUCACCUGUUGUGUAGGGUGAAUGACAGUUAGGUGGGUGUCUGUGUUAUGUAGGGUGAAUGAUGGUUUUGUGAGAUCGCCUGUUGUGUAGGGUGAAUGACAGUUGUGUGGGUGUGCAUGUUGUGCAGGAUGAACGAGAGAUGUGUGGGAUCACCUGUUGUGUAGGGUGAAUGACAGUUGUGUGGGUGUCUGUGUUCUGCAGGAUGAAUGACAAUUGUGUGGGCAUCCUCUGUUGUGUAGGAUGAAUGGGAGUUGUGUGAGUGUCCAUAUUGUGCAGGAUGAAUGACAGUUGUGUAGCCAUCUCCUGUUGUGUAGGAUCAAUGAUGCUUGUGCAUGUGUGUCCCCUGUUGUGUAGGAUCAAUGAUGGUUGUAUGUGUGCGUCCACUGUUGUGUAGGAUCAGUGAUGCUUGUGUGUGUGUGUCCCAUUGUGUAGGAUCAAUGAUGGUUGUGUAUGUGUGUCCACAGUUGUGUAGGAUGAGUGAGAGUUGUGUGAUCGUUCUGUGUUGUAUAGGAUAAUAGCGAAGGUGGGCAGCUUCCCUG
This 803-nucleotide long non-coding RNA is filed under the name Homo sapiens (human). Its description in RNAcentral is "non-protein coding lnc-CALR3-6:1". The record is from RNAcentral. Lineage: Eukaryota; Metazoa; Chordata; Mammalia; Primates; Hominidae.